GGACGCCCCCGCCCAGCGCGGACGCCGCGGGGUCCGGGCCGGUGGUCCCCGGCAGAGACGCGGGGUAGCGGACCGGAGGGAGGCCCCUCUGGGCCUGGGGUCAGCGCCCACACUUGGGAGACCCGGGCGCAGCCGCCGGUUGGCCUUACGUAAGCUCUCAGCCCGACCCCGGGCGCUCCGCGCUUCCUCCCCGCCCAGGGAGCAAGUCUCAAAGGUGGCCUGUUUUCUGGACCGAAGAGAGGACGCCUGGCACCAUCGCCGAGUGGUGUGCUGGGGUCCAGUCAUCGCGUUUUGUGGGAUGUCGACCGCUCGGCCAGGCUCUCCUCCGCCCUUUGUUGUGUUUGCUCCUCUUCCAGGGUGCGAUCCUGGAGGGACUGUGCGGUUCCCUGCAAGAAGGUCCUCCUUUCCAUGAACCAACAUCCUGUUGCCCACAGCUCUUACUGAGUAAUGGACAGAAAGUUAUGGACCUUCAGGAACCCACAGAGGGGCUCGGCCUGUGUGUGAUCAUGAUCUACAGCUCACAGCUCUUGGAUUGAAUACUAGGCCUUUGCUUAGCAGGUGUGUUCAGCCCACUUCCCUUACAACUUGUCUUGGAGAGUCCAGGAAACGAGUUCUUUGGAAAGAGAGAUUAGAGUGUUAUGUAGGACUGAUAACAGUGGAUAAGUGAAGAAAUACAUGUACAGCGUUCAGAAGAGUGCCUGCCACAUAAAAUGAUGGGGACCAGGAACAGACACCCACCUCAGCCUGGGCCAAUCACAUUCUCUCCUGGAAAUCUGGAAUUGUCAGAAGAUAAUCGGUUCAUUGCUACUUGUGAGUAAAUAUAAACCUCAGGAAAUAUGUGGUGAUUCUUCUUGCAUUGGGUUAAAAAGUACAAAAGUAAAGUAUAAUAAAUAGGGACCUGCUGAAUGGUCUAGUGGCUAAGACGCCACGCUCCCAAUGCAGGGGCUUGGAUGCAUCCCUGGUCAAGGAACUUGAUACUGCACACCACAACUAAGAGUUUGUAUGCCGCAACUGAAGAUCCUACAUGCUGCAAGGAAGAUGGAAGAUCCUGAGUGCUACAACUAAGACC
Dama dama (fallow deer) is the source of this 1069-nucleotide long non-coding RNA. RefSeq lists it as uncharacterized. The transcript is spliced from 4 exons. The record is from RefSeq and is a predicted model, not a curated record. Lineage: Eukaryota; Metazoa; Chordata; Mammalia; Artiodactyla; Cervidae.